AAGAUUUGAUGUUUUCGUGGUUUCCACGGGCUUUCUUGAACAUGGUAUUCAAACGGGCCCUCUUCGAUUUAGUUCUCGAAGAUGCGAUAUUUAGUAACAGGUUCAAGAAAUCUGUGGAGAACCAUGAAAAUCAAUCAUGAUGCUGCAUUGCAUAUUUGAAGGUGAAUGCAAUUUUAUCAAAAUAUCGGCCAUAGAUUUUCCAGAUGAUGAUCUGUAGGUAUUUGUUAAUGGCGUGACUUCUACAUUAGUUUUAAAAUUCAAAUGAAAUGCUUGUUGUCAUGUGCAUGUGUAUCAGUUUGUGUUCAUUGUUAAGAGUAAGAUCAAUGAGUUAAGGAUAAUUUGGUAGUUUGUACAAAAUGAGGGACGUUGGUUUUCCACUGUUUAUAAAAACAGAGGGAAGGGAAGUAUUAUGCGAAUGGUUUCUAUACUUCCUCUACAACAUAGAAGAUUUAUGCUUCCUCUGCCAUCCAGCCGUCCAAUUUUGAUCAAGAGAGUCACUCAUCGUUUGAUCUUAGAUCCAACGUCUCAAAGUAGUUUAUUUUUAGUUUUUUUUAUACAAGUUUUAUGAAUAUAAAAUUUGAUACGUGCCAUCUUCUCAUUGGGUUGCACCUACAAAAAAUAUUAAAAAUAUUUUUUCGAUAAAAUAUAAUGAUCAAAAUAUCCCUUGGAACUUUCAAAGGUAAUUUGGUCAUUUUAUAUUAUUAGAAAUAUUUUUUUUUUAUAUUUUUCGCUAGUGCGAGUUUAAUAGAGGAUUGGACGUACAAAAUUUGGUGUGAAAGUAGUUUAUAGAAAAAAUUAAAAAUAAAAUGGUUUAGGGAUGUGAUAUUGUGAUUGGGACAAUCUUAGCCCUCCGUUCUCAAUAGACUGUUGGAUAAGGCGAAGUAUAUAAGUUUUAUGUUGUGGGGGAAGCAUAGAAAGCUUUCCCUUUCAUUUAUCUCACAUAUGAAUUGGAGAUUGUUAUCUAUUUUUAUUUGUUUUUAAGUGGAUACAUUUCCUUUUUGAGGAUGGGAUAGGAGUGCCUAUGGGUCUAGAACACUGGUCAUCGUGUCAGGUGAGAUAGUUUAGGGAGGUGAGAUAGUUUAGAGAAAGUAUAAAAUGAGACCAUUUACUUUUGAUAUAAGGUGGUCAAAACAAUAUUGAUCAUUGGAUGUGAAGUUGGGUGGCUGCAAUUAUUCCAUUGAACAUGCUAAAACUUCAAAAAGAAAUUUUCUCAAACUUUAUGACACAUCUAGGCUAUCAAAUUGCACAUCAAAUAGUUGUAAAGAAUUGUGACCACCUUGUAUUAAAAAUAAAUUGUUUCAUUUUUAUACAUUCCCGAUAGUUUAACAUUUCUUAAUUGUGAAUACCUGAUGAGAUGAUUUCAAGAAAUUUAGUAAAAAUAAGAGAGCUGGGGUUCAAUUUUCGAGUAAAAGAGGUCGUGGUGUCUUGAAGGUGGGGUUCAAAAAAUAUGUAUCAUUUUAUUAAAGUUUAAUCGGAUUCUAAGAGAAAUUGAAAUAGGGCCACUGUAUUCUAGGAUAUUGUUCUUUUGCCAAAUGAGCAUAUUUCAUGUAGGAGCAUACCCUACAUUAACUCCCUCAGGCAAAAGACAUAUUUUGAAAUUUGGUUUUCUUGAAUUAUAGGAUCCACAUAGGAAUCAUUCGAUAACUAUUUUUUUUAAAAGAAAUUAGACUUUGAGUUCUGAAAUUUUGAUUAUUUUUUUUUAGGUUGGUCUUUAGGUUCAAGGUGUCACAUCCCCACAAUUUGAGGUCUUAAAAAUACAUUUUAGUUUGAGUUUUACCUAGAUCAAAAUGGACAAUUUUUUGAUGUCUACAAAAUGCUCUAUCGGGACCAAACUGUAUAUUAACUCCCUCGGGCAAAAAGAUAUGGGAUGAGUGAGUUGUUCUUUCAAAAUUAGUGAUCAUUCAUACAAAAGGUGCUUUGAUUGGGUGUCCUUUCUCUUUAUACAAGUGUUUCAUAACUGACUGGUCAAGUGAAUUAGCCUUUAGGAAAAAGAGCCCAGGCUUAAUUCGUUAGCGAUUGACGAUUUGUAAUGCUACGUCCUAGGCUCAAUUCCUAUCAAGAGAUUAGCUUUUUGGAAAUUAAUUUGAAAAUAUUUUUGUUAUAUUUUUCUUUAGUGCGAGUUUAAUAGAGGAUUGGAUGUGACAAAAUUAGUUUAUAGGAAAGAACUUAAAAAUAAAAUAGUGUAAAGACGUGACAUUGUGAUUGGGAAUAUCUUAGCCCUCCAUUAAGAAUGAACGGUUGGAUAAGGGGAAGUAUACAACUUUUAUGUUGUAGGAGAAGCAUAGAAUGCUUGCCCAAUAGUAAAAAGGUAUAAUAAUGGGAACCAAGCAAUUCGGCCGAUCUGGAUCACCUGAUUCCCCAACCAAACUGAGCAAAUCCGAAUAAGUUGGGCUUAUUCUCGAUAACCAAACACUAAUUUUAAAUCACUGCCUUCGGUAAAAUUUAUUAAACUUGCGCUAAUAUAUGAGCCAUUUAGUUUCAAGGGUACUUGGGCCAGUUUAAAGGGGAUUUUUUCUGGUGAUUGUAAUUUCUACCCGAAUUAGGGUAAAAAUAUUUUCUUCGUCCCUUCUCCGUUAGAUGGUCUGAAAAUUUAUUUUCCCUCUUAAUUUCGACAUUUAAAUUUUUAAAAAUGGUAUAGAGGCAAGAUUCACAAACUUUAAGAGCUAAAAUCAUUUCCUCUUUUCAUAUCUCGAGGUCAAAUAGUCAUUUGAGGGUUUUCAAGCCUUAAAACUAUACUUUUCUAUUAGCUCCCAUUGUAGCAUACUAUGCUUCUACUCCCUCAUGCGAAACACUGAUUUAGGAAGGUUAUUUUAGUCAAAUUUGUGGGAACUACAUAAGAAAUACUAGAUGACAACUUUAAAAAGAAAAAAAAUUGAAAUUUGAGUUUUCUGAGCUUGGAUCUAGCUCUUCAAAAUUGGACGGUCUCUAUUCAAUCUCGAUGCAUUAUUUUUUGGGUGCGGUUUCUAUAAGGCUGCAACUUAAACAAUCCAAUUAAGGCGCACCUCCAAAUUUUAUCAUAACAUAUAAUUUUGGUGAAAACAAUUCUUAGGAUUAUCUCAAAAUCUAUUUUCAUAUCUAAUUAUAAAAUUUUAAACUCCAAAAAAGGUUAAAAUCAAGUAGAUCUAUAAACAUAUGAAAAUAUUGAAAAUGGAUGGUCUAGAUAAAGUAUUGCAAGAUGCUCUAUUUCUGGGAUUCAAAAUUUUUUUUUUUUUUUAUAUUCAUACAUCUCGAUGUCAAGAUGAUCAAUUAGAGUUUUUUUCAACAUUAAAGCAACAUUUUCUGAUGGAUUUUUUGUAAUACUACAUUUUAAGGUUGCAACCAUAUAUAAACUUUUCCCUUGUUUUUUUUAGUACAUAGAGAGUUUAUAGGUUGUAGAGAUUACAUCUGCAAGAUUUGAGAUCUAAAAGGUAUUUCUAGCAUGCCUUGUACCUGAGGGAGUAAAUAGAUAGUGUACUCCUGGGAGUAGGAAAUCAUUAGGCUUUUUCUAUUAAGCCUUACAGUUAUAGUAAGAUCAGGCCUUAUAUAAACUUUAAAUUGCUUUCAUAGCUUUAACCUUUUAUUUCGUUUAGUUUGCAAAAACGUUAUCGUUGCUGCUGACCUUCAGCUAACUGGCGAUGAACUUGUAAAGGGUGCGGUAUAUAUAGAGCCGAGGCCCUAAACAAUCAAAGUAAAGGGCACCAUCAAAUAGUUUCGAAAAAUUAUUUUUUAAUAAUGUAAAUCUUUGUGAUAGCCUUAAAAUAUAUUUUUUAUCUUCAAUUAAAACAUUUAAAGCUUAAACAAUAGUGUAGAUCUAGCAGAUUUAUGAAAACAUGAAAAUCUUGAAAAAGUGAUGGACCAAAAAUGCGCUACAAGAUGCAUUAUUUCUAAAAUAUAAAAUCCAUUUUUUUUUCUCAUGUCCAUGCAUCUUGAUGUCGAGAUAAUCAAUUUUAAGAUAUUUGGGCAUCAAUACAAUAUUUGAGGUAGGCUCUAAUUUGACUAUUGAGAGCCUCAGCUCUAUAUAAACUUUAAUGUACUCAUGUUAAUAUACGUCAUCAUGGUUUGAUUUGCGGGAUGUCGGAGAUGAAGAAUGUUAGAGGAGGGACUGCGCUAUUUGGAAUAAAUUAGAGGAAAAUGUUUAUAUAAGGUUGCAACCUUAAAAUGUAGAAUUACAGAUGCACCUCAAAAAUCGAUCUGAAAAAGUUGUUUUAAUGUUGAAAAACGUUCUAAUUGAUCAUCUCGAUCUUGCCAUCGAUAUAUAUGAAUAUAAAAAAGAAAAAGAUUUUGAAUCUCAAUAAUAUUGCAACUUAGAACAUAUUAUCUAGACCACCCAUUUUCAAGAUUUUUAUAUGUCUAUUGAUCUACUUGAUUUUAACCACUUUUGGAAUUUAAAUUUUAUAAUUAGAUAUGAAAAUACAUUUUCAAAUAAUCCUAAAAAUGUUUUACGCCAAAAGUACAUGAUAAAAUCUAGAGGUGUGCCUUAAUUGGAUUGUUUGAGGUGGCAACCUUAUAGAAACCAGACCUUAAAUUAGAAUCUACAAUCUUUUUUAAAGAGGCACAUACCCAUACCUCCUCCCAUGAUUCAGAGUCAUGUAUACACCCUCUGUAUACACCCUCCUCCCAUGAACGUCGGCAUGGUUGAUGGGGUGCAUGAAAUAUGUCUCAUUUUAGUAAAUUUUGGUUGGUUGCUAAGAGAGAUUCAUAUAGGAUAAAGGUGUCAAAUUCCCACAUAUUUACCGAACUCUUGGUAUUUUCAUUUCCGCUUUGUACAUUGGAUUUCAAAGGUAGUUGUGAAAUUUAUGAAGGUACAUGCAGGUGUGGAUCUUCAUAAGUUUGGGUGGGUAUUUACACAAAAGCCAUUAGUGGAAAAAAUAUAGUAGCGAGUUUAUUUCAAGAAUAUAUAGGGAAUGGCGUUUUAUUUCUGGGGAUAUAUUUGGUCAUAAUAAAGUUAUAAGGCGUUAUUGUAAAUUUUUUUCCUCUCCUUCAUAUUUUUAUAUCUAAAAAUUUAAGGGAAAGUAUAGAAUUAGAUCAUUUACCUUUGAUACAAUUGGUCACAUUAAUCUUGACCAUUGGAUGUGAAAUUGGGUGGCUGCAAUUAUUCCACAUACUAAGCUCAAAUUUCAAACGAAGUUUCUCAAACUUUGUGAUGCAUUCAAGCUAUCAAUUUCUCAUCAAAUAGUUGUAAGGAAUUGUGACCACCUUGUAUCAAAAGUAAAUAGCCUCAUUGAAUAGGAAAUAUAAUUGUUAUUGAUGUGAUCUUGAUUUUGAGAAAUAUACUUAAUGUUCAUUUUUCAUAUAAGAUAAUUAUUGAUGGGGUUUGUUUUUGGGGCAUGCUUUCUAUACUUCCCCUCCCUAUUCAACUAUUUAUUUUGAAUGGACAGUUGAGCUGACCCCAAUCACAAUGUCACACCUCUACACAAUUUUAAUUUUAAUUUUAAUUUUAAUUUUUUCCUACAAAAUAUUUUGAUAUUAAAUUUGAACUUUCACUCCUCUCUUAAAUCUCUUAAAUCGCACUUCUAAAAAGUAUAAAAAAAUAUUCUCAAUAAAAAAGAUGACCAAAAUUCUUUCAGGAUAUUUUGGUUAUUGUAAUUUAUUGAAGAUAUUUUUUUAAUAUUGCUUUCAAGUGCUCCAUUGCAUGAUGGUACAACUAAAACUAAAAUACUCUGAGGCAUUGCAAUGAUGCUACAACUAAAACUAAAAUACCCUGAGGCAUCGGUCAGUGGCUCAUUUCAUCCAAGUUGAACGGCUGGAUGGGAGGAAAUAUAUAACAUACUUCUAGUAGAAGAAGUAUAAAAACUCACUUAAUCCAAAUUGAACGGCUGGAUGGGAGGAAGUAUAUAACAUACAUCUAGUAGAGGAAGUAUAAAAACCUUUCCUAGAAUUAUGUAUUUUUUGUCCCCCUUAUUGAUACGGUAGAAAUAGUAUACUAUUCCGUUCUUUUAUUUGAUGGCUUUGGGGUUUUGUUUGGUGUUUUUUUUGCCCCCCCUUAUUGAUACGGUAAACAUAGUAUACUAUUCCAUUCUUUCAUUUGAUGUCUUUGGGCUUUUUUUGUUUAUGUUUGAAUUGUUUCUUUCUACCAUAGGAAAUUUUGAAAAACAAAAUAGCGAAGAUUUAUAUACGGUCUAGAAAACAUUUUUGGUAUUACAAAUUGGACCAUAUUUUAUGCAACGUUACACAAAGAUCCUGACUUUUGUGAUUUACUUUUAUUCUCCAAUUUUGCACUCAUUGGACCACAUUUUUUUAUUUUUUAUUUUUUAUUUUUGUGGUUUUUUGGGCCAUUGGUUUCCCUUGAUAGCGUAAUCAGAUAUUGGAAGCAUAGGAUGACCCAUAGUUGAUUAUAGCUGAUAGACCAGUCCAAUGUUCCCAGCAUUAGACUAUUAUUUCAUCCUAGUUUUGAUUAUUUUGGUUUAAAACUUCAAAUAAGUAAAAAAGCAUACUAUAAUCACUUAACUCUUAUUCAUGUCGAUUUAUCAGUGUAAUUAAUAGGACCCCCUGAUCCAUCCUCUCUAUAUCAUUUUAGGUAGGUUCCACCUUUUCUCUAUUGUCACUGCAGAAAAUCUUCCUUGAAAAAUUUUCUUAUGCAGUUCAUUAAAAAUAAAAAAUCACUAAUAUAUGAUUCAUGUAUGGGGUAAUGAUCUUAUUAAAUUUCUUAUAAUGAGAAAUUUAUGGUUAACAAUGAUGUAAUAUUCCACAGAUUCUUUGACAAUGGAAGCACAAUUUGACCCAUUUUAGGGGGAUAUUUUUCCCAUUUUUGUGUUUUUGAGAGUUAUACAAAUUUUUGGUUUGCCUUAUAUAGUUGGUCCUACUUUGUUGAGCUUUUGGUGCAUGGACAAAUUUCAAUAUUGAAUAUCUUAAUGUAUAUCGUUGAAAUAUAGAAUCAUUGAACCCGAGAUUAUAUCUUUGAAGCCAAACAUAAUUUUACCAAUUACCGUGGCCCUAAGCAGCGACCUUUCACUUGUUUGAUGGACCUUUUUUGUGUUGCAUUAUGGUAUGUGAUUAUCAACACUUAAUUUAAUUAAUCAAGCCCAAAUAUUUAAUGUUUUUCAUUGAUAGAGGUAGAUAUCUCAUUCUUCCGUACAAUGUAGAAUAUCAAGUUCUUGGCAUUUGAUUUCUAAUAUUUCAGAGAGAUUAAACCAGCAAUGGUUAAGAUAGAAUGUUUAAAAAUGACUGACUAUGUGCAAUACACUAAAAAAGCAAACAUAUUGGAAGAAUUAGUCAAUCAAGUUAUAGAAGCAUUCAAUUGCUAUUAUGAUCUAUGCAUUAAAUAAAUUCUUACACGGCAAGAACAAUAAUAAAGAGGGAGCUAAGAACAAUAAUAAAGAGGGAGCUGAAUUACAUGGGAAAACUAUUCCCAACGCCUAUAGGCGAAAAUGAGCAGUAAUUUUGUCUAUCUUCAUCACCAUCCAAAUUUCAUCGCAUGGUCACAGUUGUCCGGUAUUAUUUCAACUUUAAUUUUUUUUUUUACAAAUCCAUAUUACUUGAAAUUUGGAGCGUGUGUAUAUCUUAGUGAGAUGUACCGAGGGGCAAUUUUAUGGGAAUUUAUAGCUGGAAAGGAAUAUGAUGACUUUUGAGGGAAGUAUCCCAGACUUUGAGGUUAUUUUUUUUUAUUUUUAUUUUUGGAGAAGUUCAAAGAUCUUAUUAAAAGUUCAAAGAUCUUAUUAAAAGUUCAAAGGGGUUACAGGGAAAUUAUGGAAAUACAACAUCAGAAACCACUAAGUUGGUUAGGGAUGUGCCAUUCUUCGAUAGAGUAUAGGGAAAUUAUGGAAAUACAACAUCAGAAACCACUAAGUUGGUUAGGGAUGUGCCAUUCUUCAAUAGAGUAUCGAUCAAAACAUUGGCCUCCUGAAACACAUGAGCAAAGGAAAAAGAAAAGGAAAGAUAGAAAAAACUUGAAGCAAGAAGGAACGCAAUUCCCAAAGAACCUUCUUCUCCCUCUUAUACCAGUUGAUAACAUUUAAAGAGUCCCCUUCCCCAAUAUAAAUUGUCCCAAUGUGUUUCCCACCGAAGAGCUUAAAACCCUGAAGAAGAGCAAAGAACUCAGCAUAAUUUGCAGAUUUCUCCCCCGAAUGACCUGCAUAAGUGAACAUAAUUUUGCCUUCACAAUCCCUCACAAUACCUCCAAAACCCGCUAAGCCCAGAUUCCUUAAGGUGCUACCAUCAAAAUUCAACUUAAAAGUUCCCCUAGGAGGUGAAGACCGUAAGCUUCUUGGCUUACAGUUGCGGACCCCCAAAUGUAGGAGGUUAAAAAAAUUACACCUCAUAUCAGUUUCAACAAUAUCUUUCCCCAUUUUUGAGAUCGAUAAGUACAUCCAUAUAGCAUGAAGAAUUUUAUCCAAGAUUCUAAUAGGAUGCAAACAAAUAGUUUGGAGGUUAUUAAGAGCAAGAUCAUGCAUAAAGUUUGGAUAUGGUUUGAAAUCACUUAAGGAAGGUAGAGGAACUUUUAAGUUAGAGAUCCCUUUGAAUAUGCAUUAUCUCAUUAAUCUGAAUGUGGUUAACAUAAGGCUGAAAGGAAGGUGGGUGUCUCUAAUGGCUAGUUGUUUUCAAUUAAACAUUGAUGGUAGCUUUUAGGGAAUCCAGAAUUGAUCGGUAUUGGAGGAGCUCUUCAUUAAAGUGUGAUCUUUUGCUUUCCUCGUUCAUGUUGAUGUGUCUCAACAAAUCACGUUCAAUUAACGACACUUGUACAAAGACUUCAAUUGAUAGUGGACAAAUUUGGUGGGGUUUUUUAAAGAUCGAAGGGGACUCCCAAAAAUAUAAUUACUUGCUGUAAAAGGAAGUGACGCCACCAUGGAAAUUGCGAUCCAUGUGAUUACAGGUCAUGGAUCGUGCCAGAGGUCUCCUUAAAACAUGGCUAAUGAUAUGGCAGAUGGAUUAGCUAAGCUUGGGCUUCUAUUUUGUAUUUAUAAGUUUCUGAUUCUUUGUUUAUUUGAAGAGCUGUAACCUUUGAUUGAGAUUAAUAAAAUUAUGUACUCUUGUUAUUAAAUAAAGAAAAAUGAACACCCACACUUAAUCAUAAUGAAUGGGUGCAUGCUUCUAUGGGCAAACGUGGCGGACAAAAUAAAUACUUCCAUGUUCACCCUGGAGGCCUGAUUAGAUCCAAGUCUAGCCUCAUAAAAUGGACCCGACGAGUUGGGGAAGGAUCUAUUUGACCUUGACCAGAACUAGGUUUGGUCCGGUGCUUAUGCCCUAUGAAUCAAGUACAAUCUAACCAGAGUUACUCGGUAUAUAUAGGAUAUUUUAAAAUGGAAAAAGUUUAUAUAAAGAUGCAACCUUAUAAUGUAGAACUACGGAUGCACCUCAAAAAUCUGUUGGAAAAGGUAGUUUUAAUGUUGAAAAACCCUUUGAUUGAUCAUCUUGACAUCGAGAUCUAUGACCAUGAAAAAUAAAAAGAUUUUAAGUUUAAAAAAUAGUGCAUUUUACAACAUAUUUUCUACACCAUCCAUUUUCAAGAUUUUCAUAUGCUUAUAGAUCUACUUGAUUUUAACCAUUUUUGAAAUUUAAAAUUUUAUAAUUAGAUAUGAAAAUAGAUUUUGAGAUAAUCCUAAAAACAUUUUACAUCAAAAUUAUAUACCAUGACAAAAUUUGAAGGUUCACCUAACCUCUACAGCUACGGAUGCAUUCAUAUGCCAAUCGUACCCUUUUAAAAUAUGUAUAUAAACUUUAUAUUAUAUAAAUAACCAAUUUUUUUAUUAUUCUACUUCUAGAUUCAUACUAGAUGCAACCUGAGAAGUCAGGUCCAGGUCCAAAUCACUUGGACUUGACUCCAACCCAGGACUAACUUACACUUAGUCGGGUUGGGCCCGAGUUAGGAUCGACCCAAAUCCCUCCCAACCGUUUACAACCCUAUCACCAAUUGCCUGUAUCAAUCCUUGAAGGCCACUUUUAAUGUGUAGUUCUUGAAUAGUCCUUCAAUUUAUGGGACAGUUGUCCGUUAAAUUGAAUUACUAUUUAAAUGGUGGUGGUGCAUAGGACCAUAACCCACAAGACUUUUAAUUUUUUUUUUGCGAGUUUUGGGCUCCGCAUUUGCCAAAGAUAUAAUUUUUUUUGAGAAGAUGACCGAAUUUAACCUUUUCUUCACAACAAUGGUUUCAAUGUCCUGUAUCAUCGUCAUCAUCUGAGCUUUAUAAAAACUAUUCAAACUCUUUGAAGUGGACGAACCCAUUUGUAACAUUAAAAAUUACAAAUUCGGUUCAAUACAUCAAGUAUCAAACAAGAGACUAAUUGGUGAUAAUAGAAAUCCAAUGAGCACAAAAUAUAUAAAUUAUGGGACUAUUUUUGGUUCAAAAAAAUAAAAUGGAUAACUAUGAUAAUUUCCCAUAUACAUAAUUACAGAUUUCUAUUAUAUAUUUUAUAAAAAUGUAUACAAUGAGACCCAUUAUUUUUAUUACAAGAUUGUAUGAAUUCCUACUCAAUAGAUGUCAAAUUGGAUGAUUUGGCUUAGUCACGUAGUUGAAGAUUUUUUUUUUUUUUUAAACUUAAAGUCUUUUAAAUGACACUCUUACCAUUGCCAAUUUGAAAUCAAGACAAGAGUGAUUAUGUCCUCCUUAUGCAAAAAAUAAAUGGUCUCUUUGUAUACUUUUCUACAUUUUAUUCUAUUAUAUUUUUAUUACAUGGGGUUGGUUCUAGAUCUACGUCUGGUCCCCCAUGUUAAUAUUGGGUUGGGUCCUAGUGAGGUCUGAUGCGACUUGUGUACGCCCUAUGUUAAAUGAAAUUUAUCAAAAUACACUUGAACUGUCUACAUUUCACUUAAGGUGUGAUAAAUUUUAAAACUCGUUUUGAUGUGUCAUUUGUCAAGCGAUUUAAAAUUAAAGAAUGAUGGGCAAUUUGUAAUAAGAUAAAUAAAAAAGAAUAAGAUGUUAAAUAGUUCAAAUGUGAAGAAUAAUUUGGUAAAUUUCCCAAAUAAGGACAAGAUGCAAUUCACUUGCGUGCCAUACAUGGUUUAUCAACAAUCUUUUACCAUGCAAGCUGGUUCUCUUCUAGUGUAUAGAAGUCCCCCUUCUCUUAUAGUUGAUUAAACAAUAUGAGUUUAUUUUUCCAAAACCUUAUUUCAUUAACACUUUCUUUUAUUUUUCUUUUUCAGUGAUAUGAUUGGAGACCUAAUUGAAUGGCACAUUUAGGGAAAAAUAUGGAGUAAGUUCAAGUCAAUUUGCAUAUCAUACGAGGUGGUUUCACUGCAUACAAGUUUGUUAUCUUUUUCGAAAUAAAGAGGAAAAAAAAAAAGUGUACUUCAUACGAUGUGAAAUUCUGUGGGAAUAGGAUGGCCUACUAUUAGCAAUUCUCUUUUAUCUUAUGGAUAAUUUCAUUAAUGAAAUAAUGGUCAAAUAAAAAAGAAAGAAAAUAAUAUGUAUGAAAAAUUAGGUAAAAGGGACAAAUAUUUUAGGGGCACGGUUUGUAUAAGACUGAGGCCCUAAACAAUCAAAGUGAGGCCCUAAACAAUCAAAGUAACGCACGCCUUCAAAUAGUGUUGAAAGAUAUGUUUUUUUGACUGAAAAUCUUUGUGAUGACCUGAAAAUUAUUUUCAUCUAUAAUUAUAAUAUUUAAAAAUAGUAUAGAUCGAGUAGAUCUACUUGAAAAUCUUAAAAUGUACGGUCCAAAAAAUGCAUUACAAGGCACACUAUUUCCAAUUCUCAAAAUCUAUUUUUUCUUAUGUCCAAACAUAUUGAGAUUGAGAUGAUCGACUUAAGGAUUUUUUGGCAUCGAAACAAUCUCUCUAGUGAAUUUUGAGCUGUCUUUAAUUUGAUUAUUUAAGGCCUCACCCUUAUAUAAACUUUUUCGAUUAUUUUAUACCUCAUAACUGUGUUCUCUUUAAUUUGAUACGGUGCUUCUAUUUGAUUCAUUCGCUUUCAUUUCUGCAAUUCUACCUUAUUUUCAGGUUAAUGAUAUGAAUGGAAAAUUAGGUUAGCGGAACACAUUUAGGUGCCCAUCUUAUCCUAUUGAAGCCUUAUACUAUACGAGUUGCCCGAAGAUGUAGUUUGUGUAGAAAACUUUGUGAUGACCUGAUUAUAAAAUUUAAACAAUAGUGCAGAUUAUAUAAGUCCUACAAACACUUGGAAAUCUUGAAAAUAGAAGGUCAAGAUAAAUUAUUACAAGUUACAUUAUUUUUAUGACUUGAAAUCUUUUUUUUUGUGUGAUAUCCAUAUAUCUUAAGGUCGAUAAUAUCAAUUUGAGAAUUUUCAAAAAUCAAAACACUUUUUCUUAGUGGUUUUUUGAGGUGCGCCUUACUUUUUAAAACAUAAAAACCUUUAUUUAAAGGAAAAAGUUUAUAGAGAGCCAAGGCUCUAAACAAUCAAAUUAGAGCCCACCUCAAAAAUUUCACUAGAUGAGGUUGUUUUGAUGCCCAAAUACUCUCAAGUUGAUCAUCUCGACAUCAAGAUACAUGGACAAGAGAAAAAAAUGGAUUUCAAGUUUUGAAAAUAGUGCAUCUUGUAACGCAUUUUUGGACCGUCAAUUUUCAAAAUUUUCAAAGAUCUGUUCAAUCUACACUGUUAUUGAAACUUCAAAUUUUAUAAUUAAAGAUAAAAAUAUAUUUUAAAUCUAUCACAAAUAUUUCCAGUAUUGAAACCUCAUUUCUCGAUACUAUUUGAAGGUGCGCUUUACUUUGAUUGUUUAGAGCCUCAGAUCUAUACAAACCGCACCCCAAACCAUUUCCUCUGUGUAAUAUAGUGAUUUAACAGUUCUGAUACAUUGGCUAAAGUAAAAAAGCCCCGUAAACAUGUGCUAAUAAUCACCAUAACUGAAAAAGGAAACCACUCCAAAUGGACGUCUCUCCUUAAAGAUUGUGAUGUUAGUUUGGGCAUAGUUAAUGAACUGCCAAGUGAGGCAGAAUGGUUGAGAAGCCCGGGGUCAUGCGUGUGAGAUGGGCCCCAAACAUGUAUAAAAGGGCCUCCAUGCACCCUAUCCAUAUCACCAAUUAUAUCUCUCCUCCUUUUCUCAUUCUUUUACUCAAAGUUGAAAGAAUUUCUCUGAGAAGAUUGAAGAUUUGAUGUUUUCAUGCUUUCCACAGGCUUUCUUGAACAUGGUAUUCAGACAGGCCCUCCUUGAGUUGGUUCUCGGAGAUGCAUUGUUGAGUAACAGGUUCAAGAAAGUUGUGGAAAAAUAUGGAAACGAUCAUGAUACCGUGUUGCAUAUUUGAAAGUGAAUGCAAUUUUUUCAGAAGGUCGGCCUUUUCUCAUUCUUUCCCUUAUCCAACCGUCCAUUCUGGAUGGAGGGUUAAGAUUGCCCCAAUCACAAUGUCACGUUUCUACACUAUUUUACUUUUAAUGUUUUUUCUAUAAACUAUCUUGCC
Molecule: long non-coding RNA, 13258 nt
Filed under: Amborella trichopoda
Lineage: Eukaryota; Viridiplantae; Streptophyta; Magnoliopsida; Amborellales; Amborellaceae
Description: long non-coding RNA (ATRI_LNC001709)
Source: RNAcentral